Molecule: long non-coding RNA, 262 nt
Organism: Cynara cardunculus var. scolymus (artichoke)
Lineage: Eukaryota; Viridiplantae; Streptophyta; Magnoliopsida; Asterales; Asteraceae
Exons: 3
Source: RefSeq, a predicted model, not a curated record
ACUAGAAUAAAGGAAAACCCUUCAAAGAUCCACCUUUGAUUUUAGAGAGAGAGAGAGAGACUCAUUAUAAAAGAUUCAACUCCAUCCCCUCUGAAUCUGCUGCCAAAACAACACAACGAAGAACGACGACGGUUUCUCUUUCCUUUCUUAUCUUCUAGAUACAUAUGGAUUACAGGAUGCCUCAUAAUGAAGUUGAUGAAAUCGAUUACAUGGCAGAAGAAGGGGACAUUUUGGAUUUUGUGAUGGAUGAUGAGGAGGUCAA